GGCAGCUGUUGCUAACUCCAAUCAUCCUUGGGCUGAGGAUCUGAGAAUGAUGGGAAGCGUAGUCCAGAGUCAGAUCAAUAUUCUGCUGUGCGUUUGAUAAUGAGUUUUUGCUGUGUGUGUCACUGACAGACAGUGCUGUAUGGGAUGGCUUUCUUCUUGCAUGCCAAGAGGCUAGCAAACGAGUCCCUGCUGUGAGUUCAGAGCCACGUCAGAGCAUUGCGAUCAGUACGGUUCUCC
Non-coding RNA from Pelobates cultripes (western spadefoot toad), 237 nucleotides. Lineage: Eukaryota; Metazoa; Chordata; Amphibia; Anura; Pelobatidae. The record is from the annotation of a GenBank genome assembly.